This 497-nucleotide ribosomal RNA is filed under the name uncultured bacterium. RNAcentral describes it as "partial 16S ribosomal RNA". It matches the Rfam family "Bacterial small subunit ribosomal RNA", at positions 28 to 507 of the family's 1533-position model. The record is from RNAcentral.
GAUGAACGCUGGCGGCGUGCCUAAUACAUGCAAGUCGAGCGAACAGACGAGGAGCUUGCUCCUCUCACGUUAGCGGCGGACGGGUGAGUAACACGUGGAUAACCUACCUAUAAGACUGGGAUAACUUCGGGAAACCGGCGCUAAUACCGGAUAAUAUAUUGAACCGCAUGGUUCAAUAGUGAAAGACGGUUUUGCUGUCACUUAUAGAUGGAUCCGCGCCGCAUUAGCUAGUUGGUAAGGUAACGGCUUAGCAAGGCAACGAUGCGUAGCCGACCUGAGAGGCUGAUCGGCCGCACUGGAACUGAGACGCGGUCCAUGCUCCUGCGGUAGGCAGCAGUAGGGAAUCUUCCGCAGUGGGCGAAAGCCUGGCGGAGCAGCGCGGCGUGAGUGAUAGAAAUGUUCGGAUCGUGAUACUGUGUUAUUGGGGAUGAACAGAUGUGUAAGUAGCUGUGCAGUUCUUGACGGUAACGGGUCAGGAAGCCACGGCUAACUACGUG